Molecule: ribosomal RNA, 435 nt
Filed under: uncultured bacterium
Lineage: Bacteria
Description: partial 16S ribosomal RNA
Rfam family: Bacterial small subunit ribosomal RNA
Source: RNAcentral
AGCGAACGCUGGCGGCAGGCUUAACACAUGCAAGUCGAACGGGCAUAGCAAUAUGUCAGUGGCAGACGGGUGAGUAACGCGUGGGAACGUACCUUUUGGUUCGGAACAACACAGGGAAACUUGUGCUAAUACCGGAUAAGCCCUUACGGGGAAAGAUUUAUCGCCGAAAGAUCGGCCCGCGUCUGAUUAGCUAGUUGGUAGGGUAAUGGCCUACCAAGGCGACGAUCAGUAGCUGGUCUGAGAGGAUGAUCAGCCACGUUGGGACUGAGACACGGCCCAAACUCCUACGGGAGGCAGCAGUGGGGAAUAUUGGACAAUGGGCGAAAGCCUGAUCCAGCCAUGCCGCGUGAGUGAUGAAGGCCCUAGGGUUGUAAAGCUCUUUUGUGCGGGAAGAUAAUGACGGUACCGCAAGAAUAAGCCCCGGCUAACUUCGUG